UCUGAUGUGUUUGAUAUUUUUGUUCAGUUUCAAAAACAUGUUGAACGUCUUCUCAAGCACAAAAUUGUUCAUGUCCAGUCGGAUUGGGGGGGCGAGUAUCGCAACCUCAACUCUUUCUUUCAGUCGCUUGGGAUAGCUCAUCGUUUAGCAUGUCCACAUACACAUCAACAGAAUGGUUCAGUCGAACGUAAGCAUCGUCAUAUUGUUGAAGCUGGUCUUACUCUUUUGGCCCAUGCAUCUGUUCCGUUUCGGUUUUGGAGUGAUGCUUUCACCACUGCAUGCUUUCUCAUCAACCGUACUCCUACUCGUGUUUUAAACAUGAAGACUCCCAUUGAGGUUCUCCUUAAUGAACAACCUGAUUAUACCUUUCUCAAGGUAUUUGGGUGUGCUUGCUGGCCGCAUCUUCGUCCAUAUAACAAGCGCAAGCUUGAGUUUCGUUCUAAGAAGUGUGUUUUUCUUGGCUAUAGCUCUCUUCAUAAAGGUUACAAAUGUCUUCAUGUUCCCACUAAU
RNAcentral lists this ribosomal RNA (510 nucleotides) under Triticum aestivum (bread wheat). RNAcentral describes it as "partial small subunit ribosomal RNA". Lineage: Eukaryota; Viridiplantae; Streptophyta; Magnoliopsida; Poales; Poaceae. The record is from RNAcentral.